GCAUCUGUGUUCUUUAGGUAACAUGCAUAGUCGCAUUUGUCAUCCGUUCUUAUGAUUAUUCAGAUUGAUUUAUUUUGGGAGAAAAACGACAAAAUAGGUGUCCGGAUUUUGUUUACGUUAUCAGACUGACUUUUAGUCAUAGAUAAGACUUCCGGUUUUAAACAUGCACAAAAACAACCAAUCGUAUGAUAGAUUACAAAAAUGAAAAAUAAAUAAGCCAAUCAGAGCGUUCUCAAUAUCAUGGUUUUUAGAUCGCAAGAACCACAACUAUUAUACCUCCUUAGAGACAAUUAUGUUUUCGCGUGUAUCCACCUGUAAACUACGAUACUACUAUAAUAUACAGAGACUCUCUGUAUUCUGUCUACUUUUUUCUGAAAUAUUUACUAUCUAAGG
RNAcentral lists this long non-coding RNA (393 nucleotides) under Mytilus galloprovincialis (Mediterranean mussel). Lineage: Eukaryota; Metazoa; Mollusca; Bivalvia; Mytilida; Mytilidae. The record is from RNAcentral.